RNAcentral lists this non-coding RNA (28 nucleotides) under Cricetulus griseus (Chinese hamster). The record is from RNAcentral. Lineage: Eukaryota; Metazoa; Chordata; Mammalia; Rodentia; Cricetidae.
UUAAAAGCUGCGCAGCAUGAACUUCCGG